GUGGGAUCCAAACUGGGGCCCUCUGGCGUCCCAAGCUAGCUCUUAACCAUCGCGCCACUCGGCCGGCCCCAGGACUCCUGUGCCUUGAUUUCCAUGAUCUCAGUGCUCUGCUUGUUUCUCUAGUUUCAGUGGUAGAGUCAAGGGGUGCUUCCACCCCUCCCCUCUUCCCACUGGAUUGCCACUCUAAGCCCCUCAUCUAGGAAUUCCAGGGCUACCACUGGUUUGUUCUUGUUUGACUUCUCACUAAUCCCCACCCCCCACCCUGUUUUAAAAGAUCUUUGUGUUUUUCUAGAGACCUAUUGAGUAACUUGAAGGACCUACUAAUGGUGAAAUUUUAGGUGUCAGAAUUAAGUGCAGAGCCCACUUGUUUCCCGAGAAGAGAGGGUCUGCUGCUGCUGUGCCCAGAGCCCUCACUAGAGGGUUUAACCGAAGUAAGUACUGAUUGCAGAGAUUAUGGACAACCAUGAAAAUUUACUCGUUGAAUUUGCAUGAAAAAAAUCCUCUGUCAUUCCUACAGUGGUCUCUUAGGACCCUUUAGGUCCCUGGGCUGACAGGCUGAGAUGCAUUUUGGGUAGUAGAUUUGCUUAGAUAUGAAAACAAACUUUAUCACCCAGGAGGACCCGGAGAUGCUGGUGGGUCAGGCUUGGGACCAGGGACACAGGGCCGUUUCGGCUAGACCCAUAGUUUGGAUGAAGGGGGGUACUUCUCCAAAGGAGGCCUCUAACAGCCAAGACGGGAAGUUAUAAAUGGGGUGAGGUGGCGGAAGAAGUGGGAAGGGAUCUGUUGGAUCAAAGCCAACUUCACACCAGUGGAAAUAUUUAUUAGCUCAUUAAUUAUAGGAUGCCGCAGGAUUGGCUUUGCCUCUGGGUGUGUGGGCAGUAACCUAUGCUUUAAACAAACAGCCCCAUCACUCAAUAAUAAUUAGCAGCAACAAUGGUCAUCUUCAGAGGACCAGAUUGACAGGUGACCCACAACACACAGCCUCAAGCCUGACCUGGAACUGGGCUUGAUGCCACACCUGUGGAGCCAGCCAGCCCAUCCUCAGGCAGCCUACAGGGCCACAGGCGCAGAAAUGACACCUUCGUACUUGGGCCAUUUGCUGAGAACUUGCUGUGUACUGGGCAUUGAGAGGAACACAAAGGAAAUGCAAAGCACGGACUGUACCCGCAGUCUAGAGAAUUGAGGAGACAAGAUUAGGUUUGAAAAAUGAAACAGCAGCACAAGAGAUAUAUAUGUCACAUAUAAGAGAUGGGGAUGCUCAGAGCAAACAGGAGUUCUGAACAGGGUUCCCCACCAGGUGGUCUGCAUCAUACCUCUGUGUUCCUUGUCAAAGAAGUAGGAAACACGAAGAAGAAAAAAAAAUCACACUAACACUUGUCAGAGAUACAUAUUGUUCCUAUUUUGGUUACAUCCUUUAAGAUCUCUUUCUCUGUUCAUACUAUGGAUCUCUCUAUAUACACAUAUACACAUUUUAUCACAUAAAUGGAUUCAUAUUAUACCUAUUGUUCUGUGACUUGUUCUUUAUACUUAGUAAUAAAUUGCGAACAGUUUUCCUUGAGAAACUUCUUAUGUAUCUCUUGUAUUUUACUGUGUACUUACUACCAUGAUUUUAACUAGCCCCUUAUUAUUGCCUCUUUCUGUCACUAACACUUGUGGCCUGUAUAUAAUACUCUGUGCACAUCCUUAUUUUUAUUUCUAGGAUAUAGUUUUUAAGUAGAAUUGCUAGA
This is a long non-coding RNA of Hipposideros armiger (great roundleaf bat), 1727 nucleotides long. RefSeq lists it as uncharacterized. The transcript has 3 exons. Lineage: Eukaryota; Metazoa; Chordata; Mammalia; Chiroptera; Hipposideridae. The record is from RefSeq and is a predicted model, not a curated record.